RNAcentral lists this ribosomal RNA (271 nucleotides) under Vibrio cholerae. Its description in RNAcentral is "partial 23S ribosomal RNA". It matches the Rfam family "Bacterial large subunit ribosomal RNA", at positions 942 to 1214 of the family's 2925-position model. The record is from RNAcentral. Lineage: Bacteria; Pseudomonadati; Pseudomonadota; Gammaproteobacteria; Vibrionales; Vibrionaceae.
ACCCUUUGCAAACUCCGAAUACCAGUAAGUACUAUCCGGGAGACACACGGCGGGUGCUAACGUCCGUCGUGGAGAGGGAAACAACCCAGACCGCCAGCUAAGGUCCCAAAGUAUUGCUAAGUGGGAAACGAUGUGGGAAGGCUCAGACAGCUAGGAUGUUGGCUUAGAAGCAGCCAUCAUUUAAAGAAAGCGUAAUAGCUCACUAGUCGAGUCGGCCUGCGCGGAAGAUGUAACGGGGCUAAGCAAUACACCGAAGCUGCGGCAAUGUCUU